UACGAAGGGAGCUAGCGUUGUUCGGAAUUACUGGGCGUAAAGCGUGCGCAGGCGGUUCGUUAUGUCCGUUGUGAAAGCCCCGGGCUCAACCUGGGAAUGGCAAUGGAAACUGGCGAGCUUGAGUGUGGCAGAGGGGGGUGGAAUUCCGCGUGUAGCAGUGAAAUGCGUAGAGAUGCGGAGGAACACCGAUGGCGAAGGCAGUCCCCUGGGCCUGUACUGACGCUCAUGCACGAAAGCGUGGGGAGCAAACAGG
This 253-nucleotide ribosomal RNA is filed under the name uncultured bacterium. RNAcentral's name for it is "partial 16S ribosomal RNA". It matches the Rfam family "Bacterial small subunit ribosomal RNA", at positions 524 to 776 of the family's 1533-position model. The record is from RNAcentral.